UACGUAGGGGGCAAGCGUUAUCCGGAUUUAUUGGGCGUAAAGAGCGCGUAGGCGGGCUAUUAAGCGAGAUGUGAAAACUGGGGGCUCAACCCGCAGCUUGCAUCUCGAACUGGUAGCCUUGAGUCUGGUAGAGGAGUGUGGAAUUCCCAGUGUAGCGGUGAUAUGCGCAGAUAUUGGGAGGAACACCAGUGGCGAAGGCGGCACUCUGGGCCACGACUGACGCUGAGGCGCGAAAGCUAGGGGAGCGAACAGG
RNAcentral lists this ribosomal RNA (253 nucleotides) under uncultured bacterium. RNAcentral describes it as "partial 16S ribosomal RNA". It matches the Rfam family "Bacterial small subunit ribosomal RNA", at positions 524 to 776 of the family's 1533-position model. The record is from RNAcentral.